Molecule: ribosomal RNA, 460 nt
Filed under: uncultured bacterium
Lineage: Bacteria
Description: partial 16S ribosomal RNA
Rfam family: Bacterial small subunit ribosomal RNA
Source: RNAcentral
CCUACGGGUGGCAGCAGUGAGGAAUAUUGGUCAAUGGGCGCGAGCCUGAACCAGCCAAGUAGCGUGAAGGAUGACUGCCCUACGGGUUGUAAACUUCUUUUAUAAAGGAAUAAAGUGAGGCACGUGUGCCUUUUUGUAUGUACUUUAUGAAUAAGGAUCGGCUAACUCCGUGCCAGCAGCCGCGGUAAUACGGAGGAUUCGAGCGUUAUCCGGAUUUAUUGGGGUUAAAGGGAUCGUAGGUGGGUUGUUAAGUCAGUUGUGAAAGUUUGCGUCUCAACCGUAAGAUUGCAAUUGAUACUGGCAGCCUUGAGUGCGGUUGAGGUAGGCGGAAUUCGUGGUGUAGCGGUGAAAUGCUUAGAUAUCACGAAGAACGCCGAUUGCGAAGGCAGCCUACUAAACUGCCACUGACGUUGAGGCACGAAAGUGUGGGUAUCAAACAGGAUUAGAUACCCGAGUAGUC